AUUGAACGCUGGCGGCAUGCCUUACACAUGCAAGUCGAACGGUAACAGGUCUUCGGACGCUGACGAGUGGCGAACGGGUGAGUAAUACAUCGGAACGUGCCCAGUCGUGGGGGAUAACUACUCGAAAGAGUAGCUAAUACCGCAUACGAUCUGAGGAUGAAAGCGGGGGACCUUCGGGCCUCGCGCGAUUGGAGCGGCCGAUGGCAGGUUAGGUAGUUGGUGGGAUAAAAGCUUACCAAGCCGACGAUCUGUAGCUGGUCUGAGAGGACGACCAGCCACACUGGGACUGAGACACUGCCCAGACUCCUACGGGAGGCAGCAGUGGGGAAUUUUGGACAAUGGGCGAAAGCCUGAGCCAGCAAUGCCGCGUGCAGGAUGAAGGCCUUCGGGUUGUAAACUGCUUUUGUACGGAACGAAAAAGCUCCUUCUAAUACAGGGGGCCCAUGACGGUACCGUAAGAAUAAGCACCGGCUAACUACGUGCCAGCAGCCGCCGUAA
This 498-nucleotide ribosomal RNA is filed under the name uncultured bacterium. Its description in RNAcentral is "partial 16S ribosomal RNA". It matches the Rfam family "Bacterial small subunit ribosomal RNA", at positions 30 to 523 of the family's 1533-position model. The record is from RNAcentral.